AUACUGCAAGUCGAGCGGACCGACGGGAGCUUGCUCCCUUAGGUCAGCGGCGGACGGGUGAGUAACACGUGGGUAACCUGCCUGUAAGACUGGGAUAACUCCGGGAAACCGGGGCUAAUACCGGAUGCUUGAUUGAACCGCAUGGUUCAAUCAUGAAAGGCGGCUUCGGCUGCCGUUUACAGAUGGACCCGCGGCGCAUUAGCUAGUUGGUGAGGUAACGGCUCACCAAGGCGACGAUGCGUAGCCGACCUGAGAGGGUGAUCGGCCACACUGGGACUGAGACACGGCCCAGACUCCUACGGGAGGCAGCAGUAGGGAAUCUUCCGCAAUGGACGAAAGUCUGACGGAGCAACGCCGCGUGAGUGAUGAAGGUUUUCGGAUCGUAAAGCUCUGUUGUUAGGGAAGAACAAGUACCGUUCGAAUAGGGCGGUACCUUGACGGUACCUAACCAGAAAGCCACGGCUAACUACGUGCCAGCAGCCGCGGUAAUACGUAGGUGGCAAGCGUUGUCCGGAAUUAUUGGGCGUAAAGCGCGCGCAGGCGGUUUCUUAAGUCUGAUGUGAAAGCCCCCGGCUCAACCGGGGAGGGUCAUUGGAAA
This 598-nucleotide ribosomal RNA is filed under the name Bacillus sp. CH130b_4D. Its description in RNAcentral is "bacterial SSU rRNA". It matches the Rfam family "Bacterial small subunit ribosomal RNA", at positions 51 to 632 of the family's 1533-position model. The record is from RNAcentral. Lineage: Bacteria; Bacillati; Bacillota; Bacilli; Caryophanales; Bacillaceae.